Non-coding RNA from Biomphalaria pfeifferi, 2099 nucleotides. NCBI's taxonomy places the organism in Eukaryota, Metazoa, Mollusca, Gastropoda, Planorbidae. The record is from the annotation of a GenBank genome assembly.
UCCUGCACCUUUUGGUUGUCCACUUUUUACAAAGCUUGUAUCCACCCACUCUGUCUGUCUGUCUGUUCAAAAGCUUUUACAUAUUUUUUCUGCCACAUCCAUUUUCGGAUUAAUUUGAAACUGCACAAUUAUUCAUUAGCAUAGACAAGACAUGAAUCAAUAAAAAAAAGUUAAUCAUUUGUUUAUUAAUUAUUGGUAAUUAAUUAUUUUGUUUGAUACCAACAAAGGAAAUUAAUCCUUUAGUAUUUACAGAUAUGGCUAAAUGUGUAGGGUUUGGUCUUCUUAGAUAAUAGAUAAUUGUAAAUGUCAUUUCUCCCACACCCAUUCUUGGAUCAAGUUGAAACUUUAAACAAUCAUUUAUUGUACCUAACAAAACAUGAAUUAAUAAAAAAAUAUCUAACUAUUAAUUAAUUAUUGGUAUUAACUAUUUUGUUUUAUAUCAAAUUAAAUAAGGAAAUAACUUCUACAUAUUGAAAGAUAUUGUAGUGUGGAGUUCUCCUUUAGAUAAGCUUUGUUUUUUUUUUCAAGGAUUUUUUCAUGUUUGCUUGUUUCUCUUGUUUGUUAUGGUAUACUUUUAGAUGACUUCUUUGCAGUCAUCUUCCUUGUUCCCAGUCAUGUUGCUCUCUUGUUACCUGACAAUGUGAUAUUUGUACAUAUUAAUACUGCUGUGGAUUUCUCUGCACCAAUCAUGAUAGUUUGUUUUUUUCACACAUUCUUACAGUUUAAGCAGUUUUGUGUUUUUAGUGUGUGUCACAUGGUAUGACUUUAAUUGAAAUGAGCAGUCAGUUGGUUUGAAUGUAAACUGAAAAUUGCCACACACCAUAUUUGGAAUGCUGGUCUGGACAGUCAAUUUUUAUUUCCUGAAAAAUGUUAACAUGAGCCCUCUUUUUAAAGUCUCAUUUUUUUUACUUUCUCGCUAAAUUUUUUCACUUUAUACUAUUUCACUUUAUCACUGAAUGAUGUCUGCUUUUAGAUGACACAUCUCCUUUUACACUGUUAUUGUCAAACUUUCUUGAUCUUAAUUUGGGUAUUACAUGCCUACUAAAAUAAAAAAAUAUAUUACAGGUGAUAUAGUUUGUUCUAUAACAGGUAGAUUGAUCUGAUGCCAAUUAUUAACAUGAGUAUGAAGCAAUCAUUCUAAUGAUCCACCACACUUUACUUCUACUCAGAAGAUGUCAGCACAGGAUUGACUUUAUUCACUUCCAGAAUAAAAAUCCCAACCGCACAAAGAUUUAAACUAAAGACGACUCUCAUUUUGAAGGCAAACUCUUAUUGUCACAUUGACUUCUUAUCCAAAAAUGUAAAACCAGUAUAAUCACUUAUGCAAAUCUUACUCAAAAACACGUCAAUGUUUCACUAGUGAAUAGACUUUUUUAUAUGGUCUAAUUAGUUAAGAGAAGACAUUUAAAAACAUUUAAUUUUAGAGAUCUUAUAAAAGAAAGAUUCAUCCUUUCACCAAUCCAUUUAUUGAUGACAGACAUGUAUAGUAUUAUGUUUAGUGUAUUUUAUAAGUAAUAUAAAUUGAUUUUUGAUCAAAAUCAUUUGUUCAAAUUCAUCCUGUCACUGAUUCAUGAUUUAACUAGUUAAAUUCAGAUUAUUAUGGCAGAUAUAUGGUUGAUUUUUCUUUCAAAGCUAUUGAACAAUCCUUGUCACCACUUGCAAUAGUUCUUGUAAAUGGUUUAUUUAUGAGUAUCCAGUCCUUUCAAUCAUUUUAUUUUCAAUUCAGCACAAAAAUUUACUUGUCUUUAUCAAGGAAAAAAUUUGUGUCUUUUGUGUAAACUUUGGCUACUGUCUUACAGUACAUUACACAUUGUAGUUAGCAUUUUUCUCCACUGUAAGAAGAAUCCAUGUCAUCAUUUUUUAAAUACUUCAUAUUUAUACCCUAUUAUUUCAUUGGCUUUAAGGAUCAUGACAUUUUGAGGUAGCUUAAAGUUUCUCAUGUUGGGACAAAAUGUGUGCAUUUAAUUCACUUUAAUUAAUUAUGCUGAUUUUUUCUUACUUUCAAUGCUUUCAUUUUUUUUUGUAAAUAAAGUUUUGAAAGUAUUUUAGCUUUUUAAUUUUGUUGUACAUGUUUACUGAUUGAAUUUCAAAAUGAUGCA